RNAcentral lists this ribosomal RNA (443 nucleotides) under uncultured bacterium. RNAcentral describes it as "SSU rRNA". It matches the Rfam family "Bacterial small subunit ribosomal RNA", at positions 26 to 518 of the family's 1533-position model. The record is from RNAcentral.
AGAGCGAACGCUGGCGGCAGGCUUAACACAUGCAAGUCGAGCGCCCCGCAAGGGGAGCGGCAGACGGGAGAGUAACACGUGGGAACGUACCUUUCGGUUCGGAACAACCCAGGGAAACUUGGGCUAAUACCGGAUACGUCCGUAAGGAGAAAGAUUUAUCGCCGAAAGAUCGGCCCGCGUCUGAUUAGCUAGUUGGUGAGGUAACGGCUCACCAAGGCGACGAUCAGUAGCUGGUCUGAGAGGAUGAUCAGCCUCACUGGGACUGAGACACGGCCCAGACUCCUACGGGAGGCAGCAGUGGGGAAUAUUGGACAAUGGGCGCAAGCCUGAUCCAGCCAUGCCGCGUGGGUGAUGAAGGCCCUAGGGUUGUAAAGCCCUUUCGGCGGGGAAGAUAAUGACGGUACCCGCAGAAGAAGCCCGGCUAACUUCGCGCCAGCAGCCGC